Non-coding RNA from Parelaphostrongylus tenuis, 73 nucleotides. The record is from the annotation of a GenBank genome assembly. NCBI's taxonomy places the organism in Eukaryota, Metazoa, Nematoda, Chromadorea, Rhabditida, Metastrongylidae.
GCCUCUGUGGUGCAGUGGUAGAGCACACAUCCUCGGCAUGGAUGGAACGCGAGUUCGAUUCCCGUCUGAGGCC